Molecule: long non-coding RNA, 922 nt
Filed under: Lynx canadensis (Canada lynx)
Lineage: Eukaryota; Metazoa; Chordata; Mammalia; Carnivora; Felidae
Description: lncRNA (ENSLCNG00005010196.1)
Source: RNAcentral
GAGAGAGACAUGCGCAGUGAGUGCCUCCCGUCUCUUCUACCCGAACCCCCCCUCCCCCCCCCAGCAGAGAGACCCCAGCAGCAGCAGCAGCUGAUGAUGAAGAGAGAGGCAGUGGCAGAGGGGGGGCACCUUUUAUUUCUAUUUUUAAAGGGACAGGACACUAAUUUUACCCCACUUCAACCUUGAAUUGAGGGGGGUGGGGGGAAGGCGGCUGAGUUCCUUCCCCCACCCUCCAGCCCUGAGACCUGAGAGGGGGAUUGAGCCUGAGAGAGAAGAAGAAGGAGUUUCUUCUUCUUCGAAAACCCCCAUCCACGACUCCUACCCCCUCACCCCUCCACUAGCCUCCCUCCCGAGCCCCCUCCACCCUCCUCCUCUUUGGCCGUGAGAGGAGGAGAGAAAGAGACCAAAAGCCUCUUAGCAACACAGACCCUUCUCUGCUGCUGCUGCUGCUGCUACUGCUGCUGCUGCUUGGCCCUGGCUGGAGACAUCUCACUACACCCAGGAGCAGCCACUUCCCCAGCUCUCCUCCUCCUUCGCCUCCUCCUCCUCCACUCCCCCCCCUUUAUUACCCUUUGUGUCAUCCUCCACAGCUCCAGGGAAGGCACUCAAAAGUGGGGGGCAGGAAAGAUGCUUAUUGAGGAUGCCAGUUUCUGCAUAUGGGAAGUAGAUAUUGAAGGUUAUAUGGUUUACAGACAAGAUCUUUAAAAUAUAGAUACUCAAGGACCAAGGAAACAAAUAUCAGAAGCCAAGAGCACAGAAUACUUUCUUUCAUCAAUCCAUAGAACCCUGAUACUUCUCUAAUUCCAUCACACACAAAGGAAUGACCACCUUGGCAGAUGGCCACAAAGGAUGUCAACAAUUCUUUGGAGGCAAGCAAUGAAAUAUUUAUACUAUGAGCUUUCUGUUGUUAAGUAUGUAGAAA